This 253-nucleotide ribosomal RNA is filed under the name uncultured bacterium. RNAcentral's name for it is "partial 16S ribosomal RNA". It matches the Rfam family "Bacterial small subunit ribosomal RNA", at positions 524 to 776 of the family's 1533-position model. The record is from RNAcentral.
UACGAAGGGGGCUAGCGUUGUUCGGAAUUACUGGGCGUAAAGCGUGCGCAGGCGGCUUCUCAAGUCAGGGGUGAAAGCCCAGAGCUCAACUCUGGAAUUGCCCUUGAGACUGAGUGGCUUGAGUACGAGAGAGGUGAGUGGAAUUCCCAGUGUAGAGGUGAAAUUCGUAGAUAUUGGGAAGAACACCGGUGGCGAAGGCGGCUCACUGGCUCAUUACUGACGCUCAGGCGCGAUAGCUAGGGGAGCAAACAGG